UAUUGGACAAUGGGCGCAAGCCUGAUCCAGCCAUGCCGCGUGAGUGAUGAAGGCCUCCCCGGCUGUAAAGCUCUUUUGGCGGGGACGAUGAUGACGGUACCCGCAGAAUAAGCCCCGGCUAACUUCGUGCCAGCAGCCGCGGUAAGACGAAGUGGGCUAGCGUUGUUCGGAAUUACUGGGCGUAAAGCGAGUGUAGGUGGUUGUCCAAGUUGGAUGUGAAAGCCUUGAGCUCAACUCAAGAAAUGCAUUCAGGACUGGAUGGCUAGAGGACCGGAGAGGAUAGUGGAAUUCCCAGUGUAGUGGUGAAAUACGUAGAGAUUGGGAAGAACACCAGGGCGAAGGCGGCUAUCUGGACGGUUUCGACACUAAGACCGAAA
RNAcentral lists this ribosomal RNA (377 nucleotides) under uncultured bacterium. RNAcentral describes it as "bacterial SSU rRNA". It matches the Rfam family "Bacterial small subunit ribosomal RNA", at positions 362 to 758 of the family's 1533-position model. The record is from RNAcentral.